AUCUGGGGACGAGGCUUGCAUCGGGUGCUAUCCAAUUUCGCUAACGCCACGUGCUAUCCGAUUUCGCUAACGCUAUGCGCUAUCUCAUUUCGCUAACGCUAGCUUACGCAGUUUGUACGCUACACCAACGCUAUUUGUUUUACGCUAUACUCUCGUUAUGUCUCGAGCUACACGAAGUAGUACGGCCGUACUCUCUGCAGAAGACCGGCAGGAGAUUAUACGGGAUGUUGUUCAAGCGGUUUUGGAGGCAUCCUCUGCAAAUGGGUCAGGAAACUCUUCCUCCUCGCCACCUUAUUCUUCACAGCCUGCACUGCCACCUUCUUCCACCUCCGCAGCACGUGUGAUGAGUUUAAAUGAAUUAUAAAAAGCUGGCUGUGUGGCUAGCUGCUUUUUGCGCAUUCUGUGUUUAGAUCACUCCUGAAAAAUUCUAUAGCAGGAAUCUGGAUAAUAAUGUAGUUAUUGACUAUUAUUUUUGACUCUGAAGAUGACUUCCGCUCAGGUUGUCGAAUCGUCAGUCACAUCAAACAGUCUUUCUUUUAGACUACAUCCACCCGGAUGAUCAUAACACUUCAAUUAACAAUGAAGUUAUAAUAUAAUAAUAAUAAUAAUAAUAAUAAGUCAACAUAGUAUUUGAUUUUCUAUCUGGGUAUCACACGGAUUUGAUUAGUAAACUGACUGAUGUAGGCCUCACUGAUGGUCUAAAAAUCGUAAGAAAGUGUCAGAAAUGGGUUAUUUCACAGAACUGUGAGAUUGCGAAACGUCUGUACAAUUGUUAAAUUUGUAUACAUCUUUGUAAAACCAGUCAUGCAGACAUUUGCCUAGACUAUUCAUGACCGCAAUAUUCUGUAUUCAUGUAGCAAAAAUGUCUGAAGCUGAAAUAAACAUAUAAACAAAUGCUAAUAAUAACAACUCCAAUGUGAAGUUCGACGUUUGAACUGAGCCUAAGACAAUAUUCAGGAGGAAAAAAGGCAUUGAGCAGGCUCGAUAAGCAUAGACCACCUAGAGAGAUCUUCUGUUUGCCUCCAGUUUUUCCAAGUAAAGACCAACACCUGGAUAAUUAAAACAAAGGGUCUGGGGACGAGAAUGUGAACUUGACAAAUAAAGAAAAAUGUACUCACCAAUAGAGGCUUCAACAUCGUAGGGAAUCUGUGCGUUAGGCCAUAGUCUGGUAUUGAUGGAUGCUCUUUCUCCUCUCGUSUCC
This is a long non-coding RNA of Actinia tenebrosa (Australian red waratah sea anemone), 1201 nucleotides long. RefSeq lists it as uncharacterized. The record is from RefSeq and is a predicted model, not a curated record. Lineage: Eukaryota; Metazoa; Cnidaria; Anthozoa; Actiniaria; Actiniidae.